Molecule: ribosomal RNA, 516 nt
Filed under: Triticum aestivum (bread wheat)
Lineage: Eukaryota; Viridiplantae; Streptophyta; Magnoliopsida; Poales; Poaceae
Description: partial small subunit ribosomal RNA
Source: RNAcentral
AUGUGGACGCCCGCAUCGUUCCGCUGCAGCCGCCGUCGCUGGGUCCAGGGCAGCACCUCCUUCGUGUCGCCCGUCAAACCACCGCCCCGGCCCCGGCGCCACCCGCAACAGCCCGACGCCGUGCUGCCGCGCCCGAACCCGGCGAGGCGGCCUCCAUUCUCCCAAGCGAGCACGCCUUCCAUCUUAUCGUCUUCCGCCGCGACGCCUCGCCCCAAGCGAGAAGGCCAGCCGCCGGGACGCCUCGCCCCCUUCCUAGGCUCGGGCGGCGCGGACGCCCGCCGCGACACCUCUCCCCUUCCUUGGCUACCGCGGCGACGCCUCGCCCAUUCCUGGGCUCGGGCGGCGCGGACGCCGCCGGCAAGAUGCGGUGGUGGAGGACGGCGCGCAGGCGCCGGCGGCGAGCGGCGUGCCCGGCGGUGGAGUACGGCAAUGUAUAAGCCGCGGCGGAGAACGGCAAUGGACGCAGGGGGCUUUUUGCAAAAUCCAACCGUUUUUUCAGGACCACACAUUAAAUAG